This 355-nucleotide ribosomal RNA is filed under the name uncultured soil bacterium. RNAcentral's name for it is "bacterial SSU rRNA". It matches the Rfam family "Bacterial small subunit ribosomal RNA", at positions 26 to 386 of the family's 1533-position model. The record is from RNAcentral.
AGAUUGAACGCUGGCGGCAUGCCUAACACAUGCAAGUCGAACGGGAGUAGCAAUACUCUAGUGGCGGACGGGUGAGGAAUACGUAGGAAUUUGCCCUUAAGUGGGGGAUAACCCGGGGAACCCGGAUUAAUACCGCAUGACCUCGAAAGAGCAAAGUGGGGAUCGCAAGACCUCACGCUUUUGGAGAAGCCUACGUCGGAUUAGCUAGUUGGUGAGGUAAUGGCCUACCAAGGCUUCGACGGGUACGCCGGCCUGAGAGGGUGACCCGGCCACGACGUGGGACCUGAGACCACGGCCCAGAUUCCUACGGGAGGCAGCAGUGGGGAAUAGUUGGACAAGUGGGACGAAGCCGUGA